GGCGGGGAUUGCCGUGCGGAAGGGAGGACGGCGGGAGGGCCCGCGGGCAGGUCGCGGGUAGGUGGGGCCGGGCGGGGGGAGCCUGUCUCACCCUGGCACCGCACAGAGCCCCGAGGCCGUGGCAAGGCGCGUGAAAUCCUGGGAUGUUUCCGUGUGGCCCCGCCAGUCAUUUUGCAGGCCAGGUCUGUCGUGAAUUCUGUUUGAGGAAACUUCGCAAAUACUUGACAGGUUUCAGAGUAACAGCCGUGUUAGUCUGUAUUCGCAAAAAAAAAGGGGAGGAGUGCUUGUGGCACCUUGGAGACUGGCCAGUUUGUUUGAGCGUGGGCUUUCGUGGGCUGCAGCUCGCUUUGUCGGGUGCGUGCUGUGGAAAGUAUGGAAGAUCUUUUUGUGCACACAGGGCAUG
Long non-coding RNA from Chelonia mydas (Green sea turtle), 403 nucleotides. RefSeq lists it as uncharacterized. The transcript is spliced from 2 exons. The record is from RefSeq and is a predicted model, not a curated record. NCBI's taxonomy places the organism in Eukaryota, Metazoa, Chordata, Testudines, Cheloniidae.